GACGAACGCUGGCGGCGUGCUUAACACAUGCAAGUCGAACGGAAAGGCACUGCUUUUGUGGGGUGCUCGAGUGGCGAACGGGUGAGUAACACGUGAGUAACCUGCCCUUGACUUUGGGAUAACUUCAGGAAACUGGGGCUAAUACCGGAUAGGAGCUCCUGCUGCAUGGUGGGGGUUGGAAAGUUUCGGCGGUUGGGGAUGGACUCGCGGCUUAUCAGCUUGUUGGUGGGGUAGUGGCUUACCAAGUCUUUGACGGGUAGCCGGCCUGAGAGGGUGACCGGCCACAUUGGGACUGAGAUACGGCCCAGACCCCUACGGGAGGCAGCAGUGGGGAAUAUUGCACAAUGGGCGGAAGCCUGAUGCAGCAACGCCGCGUGCGGGAUGACGGCCUUCGGGUUGUAAACCGCUUUCGCCUGUGACGAAGCGUGAGUGACGGUAAUGGGUAAAGAAGCACCGGCUAACUACGUG
RNAcentral lists this ribosomal RNA (468 nucleotides) under uncultured bacterium. Its description in RNAcentral is "partial 16S ribosomal RNA". It matches the Rfam family "Bacterial small subunit ribosomal RNA", at positions 28 to 507 of the family's 1533-position model. The record is from RNAcentral.